This is a small nuclear RNA of Lacerta agilis (Sand lizard), 103 nucleotides long. The record is from RefSeq and is a predicted model, not a curated record. NCBI's taxonomy places the organism in Eukaryota, Metazoa, Chordata, Lepidosauria, Squamata, Lacertidae.
GAGUCGAGGCAGCACAUAUACUAAAAUUGGAACGAUACAGAGAAGAUUAGCAUGGCCCCUGCGCAGGAUUAAUUAGUAAGUCUGGUAUAACCCACAUACUCUC